Molecule: ribosomal RNA, 476 nt
Filed under: uncultured bacterium
Lineage: Bacteria
Description: partial 16S ribosomal RNA
Rfam family: Bacterial small subunit ribosomal RNA
Source: RNAcentral
AUUGAACGCUGGCGGCAUGCCUUACACAUGCAAGUCGAACGGUAACAGGUUAAGCUGACGAGUGGCGAACGGGUGAGUAAUGUAUCGGAACGUGCCCAGUCGUGGGGGAUAACUGCUCGAAAGAGCAGCUAAUACCGCAUACGACCUGAGGGCGAAAGCGGUGGAUCGCAAGGCCUCGCGCGAUUGGAGCGGCCGCUAUCAGAUUAGGUAGUUGGGGAGGUAAAGGCUCACCAAGCCGACGAUCUGUAGCGGGUCUGAGAGGACGACCAGCCACACUGGGACUGAGACACGGCCCAGACUCCGACGGGAGGCAGAAGGGGGGAAUUUUGGACAAUGGGCGCAAGCCUGAUCCAGCAAUGCCGCGGGCGGGAAGAAGGCCUUCGGGUUGUAAACCGCUUUUGUCAGGGAAGAAAAGGUUCUGGCUAAUACCUGGGACUCAGGACGGUACCUGAAGAAUAAGCACCGGCUAACUACGG